This 515-nucleotide ribosomal RNA is filed under the name uncultured marine eukaryote. RNAcentral describes it as "bacterial SSU rRNA". It matches the Rfam family "Eukaryotic small subunit ribosomal RNA", at positions 635 to 1161 of the family's 1831-position model. The record is from RNAcentral.
UGGAUUUUGCAGGAGGGCGCACGACCGGGCUUUGCUCAGGCCGCGCGCCUACCUGUUUUUUGUCGGGGACUACGCCACUCUUAACUGGGGGGCGCUAGGACGCGGCUCGUUUACUUUGAAAAAAUUAGAGUGUUCAAAGCAGGCCUUUGCUUGAAUACAUUAGCAUGGAAUAAUGGAAUAGGACUUUGGUUCUAUUUUGUUGGUUUCUGGAACCGAAGUAAUGAUUAAUAGGGAUAGUUGGGGGCGUUUAUAUUUCCAUGUCAGAGGUGAAAUUCUUGGAUUUUGGAAAGAUAAACUUCUGCGAAAGCAUUCGCCAAGGAUGUUCUCAUUAAUCAAGAACGAAAGUUAGGGGAUCGAAGACGAUCAGAUACCGUCGUAGUCUUAACCAUAAACUAUGCCGACUAGGGAUCAGUGGACGUUAUUUUAUGACUCAUUGGCACCUUGUGAGAAAUCAAAGUUUUUGGGUUCCGGGGGGAGUAUGGUCGCAAGGCUGAAACUUAAAGGAAUUGACGGAA